GGGUUGUGAGGUUAAGCGACUAAGCGUACACGGUGGAUGCCCUGGCAGUCAGAGGCGAUGAAGGACGUGCUAAUCUGCGAUAAGCGUCGGUAAGGUGAUAUGAACCGUUAUAACCGGCGAUUUCCGAAUGGGGAAACCCAGUGUGAUUCGUCACACUAUCAUUAACUGAAUCCAUAGGUUAAUGAGGCGAACCGGGGGAACUGAAACAUCUAAGUACCCCGAGGAAAAGAAAUCAACCGAGAUUCCCCCAGUAGCGGCGAGCGAACGGGGAGGAGCCCAGAGCCUGAAUCAGUGUGUGUGUUAGUGGAAGCGUCU
Molecule: ribosomal RNA, 315 nt
Filed under: Escherichia coli
Lineage: Bacteria; Pseudomonadati; Pseudomonadota; Gammaproteobacteria; Enterobacterales; Enterobacteriaceae
Description: bacterial LSU rRNA
Rfam family: Bacterial large subunit ribosomal RNA
Source: RNAcentral